Molecule: unclassified non-coding RNA, 408 nt
Filed under: Hevea brasiliensis (rubber tree)
Lineage: Eukaryota; Viridiplantae; Streptophyta; Magnoliopsida; Malpighiales; Euphorbiaceae
Source: RNAcentral
GGGCCAAUGAAUACAUGAUUUCCCAAACCUUUUCUUUUCUUCACUUCUGUCAUCUGUGUGUAUAGUUCUCAUCGUUGUCGUCGUCGUUGACGCUGCUGUCAGCCAUGUCGGCCUCCUCUGCCUCUUCUCGCAAGACAUUAAGCAAGAUAGCAUGCAAUCGACUCCAGAAAGAGUUGGCGGAGUGGCAAGUCAAUCCCCCUGCUGGUUUCAAACAUAAAGUUACUGAUAAUCUUCAAAGGUGGGUGAUUGAAGUGAUUGGGGCUCCUGGAACUCUCUAUGCGGAUGAAACCUAUAAUCUUCAAGUUGAUUUUCCAGAACAUUAUCCCAUGGAAGCUCCGCAGGUGAUUUUUGUGCCACCCGCUCCGUUACACCCUCAUAUCUAUAGCAACGGGCACAUUUGCUUAGAUA